AUCAGCUGAUGUGACUGUGGGCGUCUUUCCAUAUACCCUCCACUUGCAAUGCUUGUAUCUUCGUUUGCAAAGUGCUCCGACCGCCUAGACGUCGUCGGAGGAGACCAGACAGGAACAACACUACCAUCUCUCUCUGUCCAACUACUGGAGGUCUCGUCUCUCGACUGUGCUGAAUGUUGUGGAGUGAAACGAGGAAUCAUAUUAUCUCUCCCUGUUUGAUUAAUUUCUUCUCUUUGAGGCUGCAGGCGGAAGUUGUUAUCAGAGGGUACUUCUGCUCUGCUUUCUUCAGCAUUGUUCCCAGACACUUCGUCAUAUUCAACUCUGACCAGUGAAGAAGUCAUGCUUGGAACCAUCUGAUCUUCAUGUCUGCGGACACCGGUCAGAGUGUUAUUGGCUCUGACCUGUUCGUGGUCGACUUCCAUCUGUAUGUCCUGGG
RNAcentral lists this unclassified non-coding RNA (436 nucleotides) under Hevea brasiliensis (rubber tree). The record is from RNAcentral. Lineage: Eukaryota; Viridiplantae; Streptophyta; Magnoliopsida; Malpighiales; Euphorbiaceae.